Molecule: ribosomal RNA, 438 nt
Filed under: uncultured archaeon
Lineage: Archaea
Description: bacterial SSU rRNA
Rfam family: Archaeal small subunit ribosomal RNA
Source: RNAcentral
CCGCGGUAAAACCAGCACCUCAAGUGGUCAGGAGGAUUAUUGGGCCUAAAGCAUCCGUAGCCUGCUCUGUAAGUUUUCGGUUAAAUCCAUUAGCUCAACUUAUGGGCUGCCGGAAAUACUGCAGAGCUAGGGAGUGGGAGAGGUAGACGGUACUCGGUAGGAAGGGGUAAAAUCCUUUGAUCUAUUGAUGACCACCUGUGGCGAAGGCGGUCUACCAGAACACGUUCGACGGUGAGGGAUGAAAGCUGGGGGAGCAAACCGGAUUAGAUACCCGGGUAGUCCCAGCUGUAAACGAUGCAGACUCGGUGAUGCACUGGCUUGUGGCCAGUGCAGUGCCGCAGGGAAGCCGUUAAGUUUGCCGCCUGGGAAGUACGUACGCAAGUAUGAAACUUAAAGGAAUUGGCGGGGGAGCACCACAAGGGGUGAAGCCUGCGGUUC